CUAAGGUGGAUGUGUUCCUUCUUUUCCUUCUGGGAACACCAUGCUCUGUCUAAGGUGGAUGUGUUCCUUCUUUUCCUUCUGGGAACACCAUGCUCUGUCUAAGGUGGAUGUGUUCCUUCUCUUCCUUCUGGGAACACCAUGCUCUGUUUAAGGUGGAUGUGUUCCUUCUCUUCCUUCUGGGAACACCAUGCUCUGUUUAAGGUGGAUGUGUUCCUUCUCUUCCUUCUGGGAACACCAUGCUCUGUCUAUGGAGUAGGCUUUCUUUUAUUCCUUUACUUUCUUAAUAAACUUGCUUUCACUUUACUCGGUAGAUUUGUCCUGAAUUCUUUUCUUGUGCAAGAUCCAAAACCCUCUCUUA
RNAcentral lists this long non-coding RNA (358 nucleotides) under Homo sapiens (human). Its description in RNAcentral is "HSALNT0395093". The record is from RNAcentral. Lineage: Eukaryota; Metazoa; Chordata; Mammalia; Primates; Hominidae.